GGACCACGUGGCUUGGAUUCUUUCUUUUGGAAGUUUACUUCUUUAAUUUGGCUCACUGUAAUGUAGUUUAGGACCUGACGAUGUGCUUUUGUUAAUGACAAUAAAGCACUACAUUUGUAAAUCCAGAAUUUGUAGUGCUCUAAUGUUUGUAUUCUGAAAUCCAUGGAAAUAUGAUGCGUGCAUGCACAUUUGGUCUUCAUCCUAAAAUACCUCUUAAAUAAUGAUUAUAAGUGAGGAACAAAAAGUGAAUUUA
This 253-nucleotide long non-coding RNA is filed under the name Lathyrus oleraceus (garden pea). RNAcentral describes it as "Pisum sativum (pea) long non-coding RNA (PSAT_LNC025184)". The record is from RNAcentral. Lineage: Eukaryota; Viridiplantae; Streptophyta; Magnoliopsida; Fabales; Fabaceae.